Long non-coding RNA from Chiroxiphia lanceolata (lance-tailed manakin), 1165 nucleotides. RefSeq lists it as uncharacterized. Lineage: Eukaryota; Metazoa; Chordata; Aves; Passeriformes; Pipridae. The record is from RefSeq and is a predicted model, not a curated record. The transcript is spliced from 3 exons.
ACAUCCUUUCAUUUUCAAUCAACCAUACCUACCUUGCUCUUACAGUACUUAAACCUUAGACAUGAAAGGCUGUUAGGGCACACACAGUCAAGAGUACAAGAAGUCCUGGUUUAUGUAAGCUGAAAAUAGUGCAUCUCUGCAGAACAGUGCAAAGAAGACUUAUUUCAUGCUGUGAAGCUACACUAAAAAGGGAGAAUAUUCCUUCUGGAGUCUCUAGGCUCACAACUGUACCUAUCCCUAUUAGAGGAUGUGUUGUCUCAUGUAGUGAAACUCUUUGAUACUGUAUCAGGUGAGAGCAGUAAGGAGUGUACCUGUCAGCUACCCUGACCAAGGCUCUUAUGAAGUAAAAUCAUGUAGAGAGUACAGCUUUGCAAACAACUAAGUCUAAGAGGCUGUGGGCUGGAGUCACUGAAGUCAGUGUGGUACAAAGCUCCUGAAGACAUCCAUUCAGAUGGACAUGGUAGAUUCAAACAUGCCCAAUUCCUAAAUGACUAAGUUCCUUGCUGCUUGUUGAACCACUUGUCUUAAACAUUUAUUUCCCAUGUAUGUUAUUAGAAAUACAAACCUUGAAACUAAAGAUAAUUGUCGUAAUGGUGCCUUGACCAUGUAGCAAAAAACUUAAUGAUUCUUUGCAGUGAAAAAGAAAUAUUCUAUUCAAAACUAUCCCUAUACCAACCUGAGUUGCUGGAUGCAUGUAUGAGUCAGUUAAGGAAGCCCAGAAGAACUCGGGAUGAUUUGAAUUUACUGACUUUCAGCUUCCAGCACAUUUAUUUUUAUCAUUUGCUUUAGUAGUGGCAUUCAUUGCAUGAGAGAACAAGUUGGUCUGAACAUAUGCAGGUGUCACAGAACUGUUGUGAUUUGUGUUUCUGUAAAUCAGUGAAAUCCCAUUCAAAGCAAAGAUGACAUAUAGUAAAUAAAAGCAAUUGUUAGCUGGACAAAUCAAUUGAGUUAGCUGAUCUGAUUAAAUGUCAUUUUUUUAUGGAUGAUUCCAAAGGCUGAUACUGCACUAAACAGAGGUGUGUGUUUAUAAGGAUAAAGAACAUCUUCAGAAUGCUCAUUUGUAUUACUCAUUUAUAAAUGAGGAAAUGUUAGAAGGAAAGUGAAUAUUAUUUUCUCCUGGUUUAUUUUAGAUCUCUGGUGGAGUAAAUGAAUAUUAAUUUGAAAU